UGGGGAAUCUUCCGCAAUGGACGAAAGUCUGACGGAGCAACGCCGCGUGAGUGAAGACGGCCUUCGGGUUGUAAAGCUCUGUGAUCCGGGACGAAAUAGCCUGAGGCAAAUAGCCUAAGGACGUGACGGCACCGGAAAAGCAAGCCACGGCUAACUACGUGCCAGCAGCCGCGGUAAUACGUAGGUGGCAAGCGUUGUCCGGAAUUAUUGGGCGUAAAGCGCGCGCAGGCGGCUUCCUAAGUCCAUCUUAAAAGUGCGGGGCUUAACCCCGUGAUGGGAUGGAAAAUGGGAAGCUGGAGUUUCGGGGAGGAAAGUGGAAUUCCUGGUGUAGCGGUGAAAUGCGUAGAGAUUAGGAAGAACCCCGGUGGCGAAGGGGACUUUGUGGACGAGAACUGACGCUGAGGCGCGAAAGCGUGGGGAGCAAACAGG
This 429-nucleotide ribosomal RNA is filed under the name Fusobacteriota bacterium. Its description in RNAcentral is "Fusobacteria bacterium partial 16S ribosomal RNA". It matches the Rfam family "Bacterial small subunit ribosomal RNA", at positions 355 to 776 of the family's 1533-position model. The record is from RNAcentral. Lineage: Bacteria; Fusobacteriati; Fusobacteriota.